Molecule: transfer RNA, 63 nt
Filed under: Duthiersia expansa
Lineage: Eukaryota; Metazoa; Platyhelminthes; Cestoda; Diphyllobothriidea; Diphyllobothriidae
Description: tRNA-Gln
Source: RNAcentral
UUUAGCAAGUUGCUGGUGGCAUAAUACAUUUUGGUUGUAUAGGAGGUUUGUGGCCUGCUUUUC